AAGUAAAAAACAAAACAAAAACACCACAUGGGCACAUCGAAAACAACAUAGCGGAAAACAGCUGUCAUCGGAAGCUCAGCGAAAAGCGGAAACAUUGCAUCCGGUGAACACACACACCUUAUCCGCAAACAGUGAGUCGGCAGGCAAAAGUUGUUCGGUCUAGCCACACUCCGAAGUGACCGAAGUUGAAGAUUUCACCUGCACGAGAAACGGCGCAGGGAAAUUCAUCGUCGUCGUGCGGAUAACGGGACGACAGGUGCCAACAUUUGCUUGAACGCCGAAACACGGAGUCCGGGAGAGCUUUAAUUGCCGAGAAUUUGGAACUGCAGCGGCCAGCACGCUCAUUCACUUGGUUUUGCGCCAAAGAUUGCUCGCUAAUCAUUCCGUGACCACGCGCGUUGUCUCGCCAUAACAUAGAGGUUGAGCGUUCAGAGGUGUACGGACGAUUCUCCGGUGGUUCUCUACUCGGCGCGCACGAGUCGCUAGCGUGAUUCCGUAAAACGUUGAUAGGCUGAUCAGCUCACGUCUGGCACCACACCAACAGGCAGCUUUGGCACUACACCACAGGUAGCACCGAGAAGAAAAGCCUUCGGAAAGAAGGCUUUUCUUUUUCUACUUGAUUUUGAUUUCCAGUUCCCGGUGCAAUCUAGAGGAGCGGUAUCCCUAUCACGAUCCCGAUACGCGACUGGGACGACAACAUCGGGACUGUUCCAAGGGAGUGCUUCGCAGAUUACCAGAGGUGGGUGCAUUGAUACCCAGUGGGGGCUGCUGUUGGGGAGACACGUGGAUCAGACGAGUAACGGGCACGGCUGUCGACACAACAUCCAAGGGUGCUGAUUGCAUCGCUCGAGUAUCGUCGUGAGGCAGGUAGGCUCGAGCGCAGUCGGAAACCGAUGGCUGUCUUCUGGUCAGCGUACGUUGGACGUGAGUACCCUGUGCAUGGGCCGAAGGCCACGAAGAAGAAUUAGAAGAGUAGCAGCGGAAAGAAAAAAGAAGAAUGCAUGCAGGUGAUAAAGAAUAGGAGAGUACACAGAAAAAAAUAAAAUUGUACCUUUAAAAAUUAUGCACUUUUAAU
Molecule: long non-coding RNA, 1075 nt
Organism: Armigeres subalbatus
Lineage: Eukaryota; Metazoa; Arthropoda; Insecta; Diptera; Culicidae
Exons: 4
Source: RefSeq, a predicted model, not a curated record